CCUACGGGAGGCAGCAGUGAGGAAUAUUGGUCAAUGGCCGUAAGCCUGAACCAGCCAUGCCGCGUGAAGGUCAAUUCCCUAUUGGCGUUUAAAUUCUUUUGUUCAGGAGCAAUAGUGGUCACGUGUGGCCAGACGAGAGUACCGUACGAAUAAGCGCCGGCUAACUCCGUGCCAGCAGCCGCGGUAAUACGGGGGAUGCAAGCGUUAUCCGGAUUUAUUGGGUUUAAAGGGUGCGCAGGCGGCCUGUUAAGUCAGCGGUAAAAGCGCGGGGCUCAACCCCGGUGAGCCGUUGAAAAUGGCGGUCUGGAGUUGGCGAGAAGUACGCGGAAUGCGCGGUGUAGCGGUGAAAUGCUUAGAUAUCGCGCAGAACCCCGAUUGCGAAGGCAGCGUACCGGCUCCACACUGACGCUGAGGCACGAAAGCGUGGGUAUCGAACAGGAUUAGAUACCCCGGUAGUC
Molecule: ribosomal RNA, 458 nt
Filed under: uncultured bacterium
Lineage: Bacteria
Description: partial 16S ribosomal RNA
Rfam family: Bacterial small subunit ribosomal RNA
Source: RNAcentral